This 435-nucleotide ribosomal RNA is filed under the name uncultured Roseburia sp. Its description in RNAcentral is "partial 16S ribosomal RNA". It matches the Rfam family "Bacterial small subunit ribosomal RNA", at positions 341 to 792 of the family's 1533-position model. Lineage: Bacteria; Bacillati; Bacillota; Clostridia; Lachnospirales; Lachnospiraceae. The record is from RNAcentral.
ACGGAAGGCAGCAGUGGGGAAUAUUGCACAAUGGGCGAAAGCCUGAUGCAGCGACGCCGCGUGAACGAUGAAGUAUUUCGGUAUGUAAAGUUCUAUCAGCAGGGAAGAAAAAUGACGGUACCUGACUAAGAAGCACCGGCUAAAUACGUGCCAGCAGCCGCGGUAAUACAUAUGGUGCAAGCGUUAUCCGGAUUUACUGGGUGUAAAGGGAGCGCAGGCGGUACGGCAAGUCUGAUGUGAAAGCCCGGGGCUCAACCCCGGUACUGCAUUGGAAACUGUCGAACUAGAGUGUCGGAGGGGUAAGUGGAAUUCCUAGUGUAGCGGUGAAAUGCGUAGAUAUUAGGAGGAACACCAGUGGCGAAGGCGGCUUACUGGACGAUAACUGACGCUGAGGCUCGAAAGCGUGGGGAGCAAACAGGAUUAGAUACCCUGGUA